Molecule: long non-coding RNA, 1153 nt
Filed under: Oryctolagus cuniculus (rabbit)
Lineage: Eukaryota; Metazoa; Chordata; Mammalia; Lagomorpha; Leporidae
Description: lncRNA (ENSOCUG00000030689.1)
Source: RNAcentral
GCAGGCAGGGAACACCCACAGUGCGUGGGCUCCGCCGCGCUGUGAGUGGAGGGCGCAGCAGCCCGAGCUCCCCUUCCUCCCACCCCUGUCGGUGCGGGACACCCACCGGCCCCGCUGAGCGCUGGUGCCCCUGGCGAGCAGAGGGGCAGGUGCACAGGCCUGAGGGCAGUGGCCACCCCCUGCAGAGGGCAGGCUGGCUCCUGUCUCACGGUGAGACAGGUCGUGGGGGUGGAGCUGGCAGCAAGGCACUAUGGGUACAUCUCAGGGGAUUCCCACUCCGGGAGGGGGUAGGGCAGGCUGCUUGGCCCAAAGGCAAAAAGGGGAAUGCAGCAACAGGGGCCAAGAGAGAAUUCCUUCCACAGAUCUGCCCCAAAUGCUGAGCACGGACCACCCCGAGCCUGUGAGCCAGCCUGCAGGUGCGGGGCGUCCAUGCUCACCAGGGUGACGGCAGUGAGCCCAGGGACGCGACGCGGACACCGGCCGCCAGCCGCACCGAGGUCAGAGCGAGGGACGCCUCUGGUCUUUCCUGCACAAUUCCCAGAGCACCUGAUGGAAACGCUAAGAAUUGGAAUUUGCUGGCUGGUGCUGCCGUAGACGCAGAAUGAGAAGACAGACGGUGUCUGCUCACGGGCACAGGCGCCACCCACGCUCCAGGGACCCGGUGGGAACCAGGGCGUCCUCCUGGAGACACACAAGGGCCCACAGAACACACGCAGGCGCGAGGCAGGCGCCUGACCAGGGCUAAGAGUCCCGCAUGCCGCAUCGGAAGGCCUGCUUUUCCUCCUGGCUCCGGCCAGGGGGCAUCCUGGGAGGUAGGAGGUGACGGCUCGGGGCGCUGGGCUCCUGUCGCCCACGAGGCAGGCAGAGUAAGUCCAGGGCCCUGGCUUCAGCCACUGUGGGUGCAGGGAGAGUGACCCGGCAGAUGGGAGCUGCCUCUGACUCGCUCUGCUUCUUACAUGAGUAAAACCUAUUUUUUGGCUAUUUUGUGAAAGUGCUCGCGAGCACAUUCAGGAGUCUGUAGUAAAGGGAACUCGCAGAGCGGUCAGGAAGGGCUCCCGCGGAAGCCAGGGUGAGAGCAGCUGCGGGAGAGACAGGGAAGGAACGUUCCAGAAGCGGAGGCGGCCCAGCCUGGGGGAGGCGUGAGUGCUGAGCG